This 325-nucleotide unclassified non-coding RNA is filed under the name soil metagenome. RNAcentral describes it as "partial contains 5.8S ribosomal RNA, internal transcribed spacer 2, and large subunit ribosomal RNA". The stretch from base 1 to 120 matches the Rfam family "5.8S ribosomal RNA", at positions 35 to 154 of the family's 154-position model. The record is from RNAcentral.
GAUGAAGAACGUAGCGAAAUGCGAUAAGUAAUGUGAAUUGCAGAAUUCAGUGAAUCAUCGAAUCUUUGAACGCACAUUGCGCCCGCCAGUAUUCUGGCGGGCAUGCCUGUCCGAGCGUCAUUUCAACCCUCAAGCCUCGCUUGGUGUUGGGCCCUGCCCGCCGCGGCCGGCCCUAAAGAUAGUGGCGGCGCCGCCUGGCCCUCAGCGUAGUACAGCUCUCGCUCCAGGGUCCGGCGGCAGCCUGCCAGAACCCCCCAACUCUGUGGUUGACCUCGGAUCAGGUAGGGAUACCCGCUGAACUUAAGCAUAUCAAUAAGCGGAGGGA